This is a long non-coding RNA of Ctenopharyngodon idella (grass carp), 6894 nucleotides long. RefSeq lists it as uncharacterized. The transcript is spliced from 4 exons. Lineage: Eukaryota; Metazoa; Chordata; Actinopteri; Cypriniformes; Xenocyprididae. The record is from RefSeq and is a predicted model, not a curated record.
GAAGUGACGUCCACAUUUCAGACACAUGUCCCUGCCACCUGCGGACAUUCCAUGAGGUCAGCAGCACGUACUACAGCGAUGCAGCCGCCCUCUGACUCAGAGGCUUAAGGCUGUUUUACCCCUGAGGGCUAUCAAGACCGGCUAAUGUCACCCAACACAGUGGCUACAUCUGUCUCUGUCCAGCCCCCAUCUCAGGGCACAGAGGGUGCUGAUGGGAAAGGUAAGGAGCAUCUGAAUGGUGUGGCUGAGGGUCUCCCUGUGGAGAAGAUGAUUCGGCACAGGGGAGCACUUUUCCCAUAAUCAGGGGUAAAUUACCUGAGAGCGGGGUCAGGUUACACAUUGAUUUCAGAGACAAACAAAGCCCCAGGACUGCCCGUAAACACUCGCUCACUGCACUAAUGAGAGGACUGACCAUGCAGUCCAGUCAUGGUUUGAUUGCAAAGCAUAAAUGCUUCACGUUACAGUGCAGCGUUAUUUUGUGAUUGUGAAGUCAUUCUGUUCACAGGGUUAUGCGCCAUUGAGAAUUCAGAAAGAGAAUGCCUUUUAAAUUGCAAUUCUUGUUUGAAUUAAGGAUGCAGAAUUGCAAUUCAGUUUUAAAUGUAAGGAGAUAGAAUUAAAAUGAAUUUAAAUUCAAAGAUAUUCUUAACUGUGAUUUUAACUAAAAAAAAAAGCAAAGUUCAUCAAGAUAAACUUUGAAUAUUAGCUUUGAAAAAAUGAUGAUGAUAGAUAGAUAGAUAGAUAGAUAGAUAGAUAGAUAGAUAGAUAGAUAGAUAUGGGAAAAAAAAAAAAAAAAAAACGUCAGUCUGAUCAUAAAAGAUAAGGCAGAAUGGGAUCUGAAAGAUCUAGGAAUUACAUUGGAGAAAUUUUGGUUUCGGGUUAGAGAUUUUGAAGAAAAAAAAAAAAAGUAGUUUUGUACAAUAACAGUGUGUUGACUUGGCCAAGCCCCCUAAACAGGAAAAUAGAGGACAACAGAGUCACAACGUACAUAACACAGCCAUCAAACUGCACUUAAGUAACCCAUAGGCCGUUCCACUCGCUGAGCCCACAAUACCCAAACGGGCUUUCUGGGGUGCACAGAAUAUUUGCUAAUCCUCAAGAACAGAUGUCUUAUUUUUGCCCUGAAAUCCCUAGCUGGCUGGCUGGCGAGGGGAGUGAGCCCUCCAACGGAUAAGCCUAGAUUGGGGCCUUGCAGUGGGAAAGGUCAGGAUCGGAGAGGAGCUGGAUCCGGCAGGCCCGAGGGGAGGUAAGCGAUCUGGGGGCCAUACAGGAGAUGGAACGGGUGAGAGAAAAAGAGCGUCACUGUCCUGUGCCACUUUCCUACCGGCCGUGAGAUCUCCAUACGGGGGACGAGUGCUUCGACAUUUCCUUAGAUCCUCUGCCAAGAGCGGAGCAUCUGGCAUGGUGUCAGGGACUGGCAUUAGCGCGCAUUAGCAGUGGGGGAGACCCAGCCCUCUCCAGAUUUGUCCCCUCCAGCAGGGGCAUCACCAGGCAGGAGCUGCUCCAACCGCUAGACGAGGUGGGGAACUGCGGUGGAGGUUUGGGCUUCAAAUCAAUACACUUGCUUUCAUUGGAACAAUUAAUUCACACAGGCGGCAUAUAAUGAGAAAAACCGCGUAGAGGCUCGGAGAAUAAAAUUAAGUGUGUAAUGCAUCCUAUUAAUUAUUCCAUGUUAAAAUGUGGGACGCACAUGCAUAUUGUUCAAUUAGAGCCAUUGUAGUUCUCGGUGUGGACAAUAACACCUUUCCUAAUAUUAGCCAGAGAGGGGAAAAAACAGCACCAUGUGUUAGGUGCCUCCAUUAUGUCUGCAUACACGUCUAUCCGGGGGCGGGUGUGACAGACAGAGAAAUGGGGAAGAUCCGUUGGGAAUACGCAGAAAAAAUCCACAAGCAGCACUCGGUGAAAGUGAUACUGCAGUUGUACCUACAGCAGAGUCCACAGGAGCAUCUGUCUAUCCUGAGACGUCCUGACAGAGCCCCAGAUACCUCUCACGGUGGUGUUUAGGGGUGGGAAUCUUUAGGCACCACAUGAUUUGAUUUGCUUUUGACACUCAGAAAAAAUGAGCAAAAAUUGUAGCUGUAGGGUUACAACAGCUUGUCACUGGAGUAGCACCCUUAAAAGGACAUCUUUGUAUAUUAUUUACCCCUAAAAGUUUCAUAGUUCACAUCUUUAGGUACUGUCCCAGUAGGCUCUUGUACCCCCCUAAAGGUAUAAUUUUCCAAUUUUUUUCUGACAGUGCAAGAAAGUAAGUAGAUAACAGUUUUUGAGCAACCUUAAAUGUUCACUACAAAAAAACAAAACAAAAAAAAAACAUAGAAAAACUAAAACUAAAACUAGACUUUAAUUCAAUUUACAAGUGAAAAAAAAAAAAAAAACGCCAGUAAGACAUAGUACUUAUAUUCAAGAUGCAAUAUAUAAGUUUUAAAAUCUUAUACACUGUCUACAUACAUUUUUAUGUUGUUUCAGGGAUUUUAAAAUAUUUUAAAGGGGACCUAUUAUGCCCCUUUUUACAAGAUGUAAUAUAAGUCUCUGGUGUCCCCAGAAUGUGUCUGUGAAGUUUCAGCUAAAAAUUCCCCACAGAUCAUUUAUUAUAGCUUGUCAAAUUUGCCCCUAUUUAUGUGUGAGCAAAAACAUGCCGUUUUUGUGUGUGUCCCUUUAAAUGCAAUCCGGCCCCCAAUCCAGAAGAGGGUGGAGCUUUAACAGCUCACACUUCGGUUGCACAACAACAACAAAGCUGGAGAAUCUCACGCAGCCAAAAUAACAAUUGUCAGUAACGGUGUUCAGCCUUACAUUGUUCAAACCGGAGUUCACCGUUUUCGCUUUGUGAAAACAAAAUGAUGGCGCCGCAGGUGGAAACGUGCAGAUUAAGGGGCGGUAAUAUCAUAAUAAGAUCCCCUUCCUACAUCACAAGGGGAGCGAAAUCUGAGCAGCUCUUUUUUUAUAUGCUUGCAGAGAAAGGCAUUCCAAAACAAAGUUACUGGGUUGUCCUUUUUCAUGUUUUCUGGGUUAGUAGAUACCCGAUUAUAGCACUUAAACACAGAAAAAGUCAAAUUUUCAUGAUAUAUCCCCUUUAAGCAUAAAAUAAGACAAAAGUAUUCAUUAAGGAUAGGAUUUUUUGUGACGUUGUCAAUUUAAAUCUUGUUUUUUUUUUCGUGCAUGACCAUGAUCAACUUUUAAGAUGUUGAUCAGAUCUACAGAUCUACAACUUUUAAGAUGUGCUACAUUAAACAUAAUUAUUAAAGUUGAAGUGUGUCAUUUUUUUAUGCCACUAGUGGUAGCAAAUGGAAUUGCAGUCUCUUUGAGCAGCCAGAUUAGGCUGCAAAUAGCAGUAGUUUUGAGCUGGAAACUGGCUUGUCUGUACAAUGGAAGAUGGGGAAGUAUUAGAAACUUGUACAUUUCUGUUUGGAGAUGCUUGUGGCCUAGAUAUUAUAAACUUAAGUUUUAAUAUUAAAUUCUGAUUUAUCAAUUUUUGCUAAUUAGAAAUAGAAAACACUUGAAAACACUCUUCCACAGAAGGAAGAGUUUGUAAUGAAACGAGGGUGAGUAAAUGAUGACAGAUUUGUCAUUUUUAGGUGAACUUCUUUAACUCGGUCACUGUAGACUUGAAGUACAACUUAAACUCUUUUAAAGAUUCUUCUUUUGUCUUUUAUGUGAAACAGGAUCAAAGUACCUGACUCUAACAGGCAUAUACACAGUUUGGGCUGGCCAGAAAACAUCCCAGUUGAAGUAAAAGCGCUCCAGUCAAUAAGAUACACAGACUGAUCCGUUUCCAAGGAGCCAAGGGGAAAGAGUCACCAUGGAUACGCAGGUCUACAACAAUAAAGUCCAGCUUGACGCCGGAGUGUGACCACAUGCUUUGACAAGAGCACCAAGAGCACAUUAUGUGUCCGGAGUGGAGCGCCGAGGGCUUCCCGGGCUCUGAUUGACCUGCCUAGACUAAUCUUUCAAAAGAGGGUUUAAGGACACAAGGAGUCUAUUCCAGUUCAACUCGACGACUACAUUGGAUGCAAGUAGACUGUAGUACAGGUGCUACUAUUGUUGCCCGCACGUUUGGUCUGUGGCCUGGCCCGACCGCUCGCUCUCUGACCACAGGGUUUAAUCUGUCAGCUGGGCGGCCGCACCUCAUGUGUCAGCGCACAUCACAUGGCUUGUCAGAAAAACACGCCGAUGCUGCGUAUGGCAUUCAGAGCUCACCUUGAAUAAAAUCACAACGGGGAUUGAGGGUCUGGGUUUUCUUUUUCGGACCGUUCACCUUUUGUGCUGAGUGUCAGCUGGGACACACCCUCCAUUGUGCCGCCUCCCUGGGAAACACCAGGCCGGGAUCCGCUGGGCUGCUGUAACAGAUGGAGUUCCCAUUGACAAGCAUUAUACGACUGACAGACCGCAACAGUUGGAGUUAAAAAUCAUCAUUUGUGUUCUACUGAAGAAACAAAGUCACCUACAUCUUGGAUGCCCUGGGGGUUUUCGAGAACCGGAGAAUGAAGAGUUCUGACGCAUUUGGAAGGACACCUGUCUCCCGUGCAGCACAGCGAAGCGCUAGGCAGGCCGCUGGCCUGUCUUGGCAGUGAACGCUAGCGAGAGGAGCACAGAUAAUUACAAACUCCAGGGAGGCCGUAGGACCAACCUGUUCCUCCAGUCUGAUCCAGCAGGUCCUUGCGGCCAACACCACCUCUUUCAAGACCCCCUCCGACCCCCCUACCAUCAGGCACACCACAUAAUGAUAUGGUCAUCACACAAAGGAGAUGGUGCCCCUCGGCUCUCUCAACAAGCGUACCUUAUAAUCCAGACCGUGGUGUUUAUUCAUGACUUUUGUGUGUAGCCAGGAUGUUGUUGACACACCUAAAACAUCAUAUUUGUAGAUCUGAUGCAUUUUUGAGAAAUUAUUUAAUUAUGAUACAAAAUUCAAAAUUAUUUAAUUAUGAUACUCUGUUCCAAAACCUAGUGAGCUGCCUUGCUGUCUACUUAGGCAGCACUCUGAGUGAAAUAGAAUGAUCUACAUAGGCAGCCCAAUGAGUUAUACAAAUAGCUCUAUCAACUUGACUAGCAAUUGACCCUUCGCCGGGAGUUUGAUUGACAGGAGAUCUAACCAAUCGCCGAAUCCGCCAUUUUGUCCGACAAAGCAGUCAGGGGAGUUAGUAGAUUUACGUUGGUGGACUUGAACUUAAAAAAUUGCGUGUACUGACAUCUUUCCGCGGUUGAAGCAACAUUACUUCUGAUGUUCAUUCAUGUUUAUUUGAUGCUAUAAAUUAAUUAGUAAGAAUAGAUGAUCGGUUCACGAGCCGCUUGAGCUGAGGCGCUACAGCGAUCUGUCACGACACAUUAAAGAGCCACAAAACAGUAUUUAUUGUUUACAUUUCUUUAAAAAUGACAAAAUUUGAGACUUUCAUAUCAAAAGUAACUUGCUCUGUCUUGUCUGUCGACGCGUUGUCAGUGUCCUCUUUGCUCCGCCAUGUAUUUUCACUGCGUUAGAGCGGCAUGGCUUGUCGGACGUAGCAACAGUAACUUAAGGGGGCGGGUCUUUGUGAACGGUCAAUUGAUAGAAUUUUGUGUUCGCUAGUAAACAACACUCUAAUAAACAUAAAAAUACACUACGAAAUACAGUAAGAUUAUGCUCACCAAGGCUACAUUUAUUUGAUCCAAAAUAUAGUAAAAACAAAAAUAUUGUAAAAUAUUAUUACAAUUUAAAAUAACUGUUUUCUAUUUUAAUAUAUUUUCAAAUGUAAUUUAUUUCUGUGAUCAAAGCUGAAUUUUCAGCAUCAUUAAUCCAGUCUUCAGUGUCACACGAUCCUUCAGAAAUCAUUCUAAUAUGCUGAGUUGGUGUUCAAGAAACAUUUCUUAUUAUUAGUGUUUAAAACAGUAAUUCAUAUAUUAAUAUUCUGUGAAAAUCUCUUUUUUCAGGAUUCUUUGAUGAAUAGAAAGUUCAAAAGAACCUUGAUGAAAAAAGUAUUAAUGUCUUUAAAAUUAAAAUCUAACUGAGCACAAACUUUUGAGCAGUAGUGUACACAGCACACAAAAUGUUGGGUAAAUGGUUCUGUUAAGUAUUUCUGCAAAAAAGGCCCAGUUUUACUAAUGAUUUAUUUGUAUUUAAUUGUUAUUUAGAGGUAUUUCUAGGUUAUUAUAUUCGUAAACUUUUAAGUCUAUUGAACAGGUAGAUUUUCCAGUCUACUGUAUUAGUCAGCUUUCUAAUCUAUUCCAUUUCCUUGUAUAAAAGGAGAAUCCAACAACGAUAUGUGACGUGCUGCGAGACUGGAGCGAGGAACCGCUGGCUGGAUACAUUAUAGCUUGUUUAAUUUGUUUGUUUUAAUCUUCCUGGACCACAAACAUCUGAGAUUGUAAGAUUGCUCAAUAAAGGAGAACUUUUGAUAAUUAUUCUCAGUUUGAGACAUCACUGUUCUAACCAGACAAAGCUGCAAGCUCUUCAACCUAUCCUAAUCAGAAUAGAAAGGGUUUCUAAUUCACAAGUUUUUUACAAUUUCUUUUGCUUUGUCUAUCAUUUUGGAUGGAAAUUUUCUCACCAAGCUUUUUGCAAUGCAUUAUUAGACUGCCUUCUCUGCAAAGGAUGCAUGCUGCCACAGAAUUUGGCAAAAAUAAAGUAUCUUAGAAGGUGGAAUAAUUAUGCUGCCCAUCUCUUGAAGUAGCCUUGCAUCAAGAGCGCACGUAAAAUGCUAGACUAACUAGGUUCAGGAACAGAGUAAUUGUGUCCAAUUCAUUUCAGACUUGGCCAGUCUUUAUUCAAUAAAUGUCAGCAAACACAAUAAAAUAUAAAGCGAAGCAAAUGUUGACCAGGUUAAUGUUUGCACAUCAUAAAUGUAUGUCAUAAAAUUCACUGAAGCUCCAAGAUAAAAUAAUUAUAAAUGCCUAAUGCUUGAUUUGUGCCCUUAUUUUUUAUAACUGUUC